AAGUCGAGCGCGCCUUCGGGCGAGCGGCGGACGGGUUAGUAACGCGUGGGAACGUGCCCAGAUCUACGGAAUAGCCACUGGAAACGGUGAGUAAUACCGUAUACGCCCUUCGGGGGAAAGAUUUAUCGGAUUUGGAUCGGCCCGCGUUAGAUUAGGUAGUUGGUGGGGUAACGGCCUACCAAGCCUACGAUCUAUAGCUGGUUUCAGAGGAUGAUCAGCAACACUGGGACUGAGACACGGCCCAGACUCCUACGGGAGGCAGCAGUGGGGAAUCUUGGACAAUGGGGACAACCCUGAUCCAGCCAUGCCGCGUGAGUGAAGAAGGCCCUAGGGUCGUAAAACUCUUUCGCCUGUGAUGAUAAUGACAGUAGCAGGUAAAGAAACCCCGGCUAACUCCGUGCCAGCAGCCGCGGUAAUACGGAGGGGGUUAGCGUUGUUCGGAAUUACUGGGCGUAAAGCGCACGUAGGCGGAUUAGAAAGUUAGAGGUGAAAUCCCGGGGCUCAACCCCGGAACUGCCUUUAAAACUACUAGUCUAGAGUUCGAGAGAGGUGAGUGGAAUUCCGAGUGUAGAGGUGAAAUUCGUAGAUAUUCGGAGGAACACCAGUGGCGAAGGCGGCUCACUGGCUCGAUACUGACGCUGAGGUGCGAAAGUGUGGGGAGCAAACAGGAUUAGAUACCCUGGUAGUCCAUACCGUAAACGAUGAAUGCCAGUCGUCGGGUAGUAUACUAUUCGGUGACACACCUAACGGAUUAAGCAUUCCGCCUGGGGAGUACGGU
This 778-nucleotide ribosomal RNA is filed under the name uncultured marine bacterium. RNAcentral describes it as "bacterial SSU rRNA". It matches the Rfam family "Bacterial small subunit ribosomal RNA", at positions 59 to 886 of the family's 1533-position model. The record is from RNAcentral.